RNAcentral lists this unclassified non-coding RNA (90 nucleotides) under Oryza sativa (Asian cultivated rice). Its description in RNAcentral is "partial microRNA MIR476 precursor". The record is from RNAcentral. Lineage: Eukaryota; Viridiplantae; Streptophyta; Magnoliopsida; Poales; Poaceae.
UUGACUGCAUUAGGAUUCAAUCCUUGCUGCUAAAUGUAUUGCUUAUAUUCAGCAAUAUAAUGUUCAGCAGCAAGAACUGGAUCUUAAUAU